AAACGACUCUCGGCAACGGAUAUCUCGGCUCUCGCAUCGAUGAAGAACGUANCGAAAUGCGAUACUUGGUGUGAAUUGCAGAAUCCCGUGAACCAUCGAGUCUUUGAACGCAAGUUGCGCCCGAAGCCUUCGGGCCGAGGGCACGCCUGCCUGGGCGUCACGCA
This 164-nucleotide ribosomal RNA is filed under the name Strobilanthes alternata. RNAcentral's name for it is "Hemigraphis alternata 5.8S ribosomal RNA". It matches the Rfam family "5.8S ribosomal RNA". Rfam says of the family: 5.8S ribosomal RNA (5.8S rRNA) is a component of the large subunit of the eukaryotic ribosome. Lineage: Eukaryota; Viridiplantae; Streptophyta; Magnoliopsida; Lamiales; Acanthaceae. The record is from RNAcentral.